Molecule: transfer RNA, 75 nt
Filed under: Actinomycetota bacterium
Lineage: Bacteria; Bacillati; Actinomycetota
Description: Actinobacteria bacterium (freshwater metagenome) tRNA-Lys
Rfam family: tRNA
About the family: Transfer RNA (tRNA) molecules are approximately 80 nucleotides in length. Their secondary structure includes four short double-helical elements and three loops (D, anti-codon, and T loops).
Source: RNAcentral
GGGUCGCUAGCUCAACGGUAGAGCUGCGGACUUUUAAUCCGUAGGUUCCGGGUUCGAGCCCCGGGCGACCCACAA